Molecule: ribosomal RNA, 913 nt
Filed under: Stagonosporopsis cucurbitacearum
Lineage: Eukaryota; Fungi; Ascomycota; Dothideomycetes; Pleosporales; Didymellaceae
Description: partial large subunit ribosomal RNA
Rfam family: Eukaryotic large subunit ribosomal RNA
Source: RNAcentral
CUAGCAUAUCAAUAAGCGGAGGAAAAGAAACCAACAGGGAUUGCCCUAGUAACGGCGAGUGAAGCGGCAACAGCUCAAAUUUGAAAUCUGGCGUCUUCGGCGUCCGAGUUGUAAUUUGCAGAGGGCGCUUUGGCAUUGGCAGCGGUCCAAGUUCCUUGGAACAGGACGUCACAGAGGGUGAGAAUCCCGUACGUGGUCGCUAGCCUUUACCGUGUAAAGCCCCUUCGACGAGUCGAGUUGUUUGGGAAUGCAGCUCUAAAUGGGAGGUAAAUUUCUUCUAAAGCUAAAUACUGGCCAGAGACCGAUAGCGCACAAGUAGAGUGAUCGAAAGAUGAAAAGCACUUUGGAAAGAGAGUUAAAAAGCACGUGAAAUUGUUGAAAGGGAAGCGCUUGCAGCCAGACUUGCCUGUAGUUGCUCAUCCGGGUUUCUACCCGGUGCACUCUUCUAUAGGCAGGCCAGCAUCAGUUUGGGCGGUUGGAUAAAGGUCUCUGUCAUGUACCUCCUUUCGGGGAGAUCUUAUAGGGGAGACGACAUGCAACCAGCCUGGACUGAGGUCCGCGCAUCUGCUAGGAUGCUGGCGUAAUGGCUGUAAGCGGCCCGUCUUGAAACACGGACCAAGGAGUCUAACAUCUAUGCGAGUGUUUGGGUGUCAAGCCCGAACGCGUAAUGAAAGUGAACGGAGGUGGGAACCUUUCGGGGUGCACCAUCGACCGAUCCUGAUGUCUUCGGAUGGAUUUGAGUAAGAGCAUAGCUGUUGGGACCCGAAAGAUGGUGAACUAUGCUUGAAUAGGGUGAAGCCAGAGGAAACUCUGGUGGAGGCUCGCAGCGGUUCUGACGUGCAAAUCGAUCGUCAAAUUUGGGCAUAGGGGCGAAAGACUAAUCGAACUAUCUAGUAGCUGGUUCCUGCCGAUC